Molecule: ribosomal RNA, 406 nt
Filed under: uncultured bacterium
Lineage: Bacteria
Description: partial 16S ribosomal RNA
Rfam family: Bacterial small subunit ribosomal RNA
Source: RNAcentral
AUUGAACGCUGGCGGCAGGCCUAACCCAUGCAAGUCGAACGAGUGGCGGACGGGUGAGCAAUGUCUGGGAAACUGCCUGAUGGAGGGGGAUAACUACUGGAAACGGUAGCUAAUACCGCAUACCAUCAGAUGUGCCCAGAGUGGAUUAGCUUUUUGGUGGGGUACAGGCUCACCAAGGCGACGAUCCCUAGCUGGUCUGAGAGGAUGACCAGCAACACUGGGAAGGCGACACGGGCCAGACUCCUACGGGAGGCAGCAGUGGGGAAUAUUGAACAAUGGGCGAAAGCCUGAUGCAGCCAUGCCGCGUGUAUGAAGAAGGCCUUCGGGUUGUAAAGUACUUUCAGCGGGGAGGCGUUACCCGCAGAAGAAGCACCGGCUAACUCCGUGCCAGAAGCCGCGGUAAUAC